Molecule: transfer RNA, 73 nt
Filed under: Camelus bactrianus (Bactrian camel)
Lineage: Eukaryota; Metazoa; Chordata; Mammalia; Artiodactyla; Camelidae
Also listed under: 2 other names
Rfam family: tRNA
About the family: Transfer RNA (tRNA) molecules are approximately 80 nucleotides in length. Their secondary structure includes four short double-helical elements and three loops (D, anti-codon, and T loops).
Source: Rfam by way of RNAcentral
GGCAGUGUAGCCUAGUGGGAAAGCCCACGGGCCCUGGAGCCAGACUGUCCAGGUUCAAAUCCUGGGUCUGCCA